AGAGUUUGAUCCUGGCUCAGGACGAACGCUGGCGGCGUGCUUAACACAUGCAAGUCGAACGGAAAGGCCCUGCUUUUGUGGGGUGCUCGAGUGGCGAACGGGUGAGUAACACGUGAGUAACCUGCCCUUGACUUUGGGAUAACUUCAGGAAACUGGGGCUAAUACCGGAUAGGAGCUCCUGCUGCAUGGUGGGGGUUGGAAAGUUUCGGCGGUUGGGGAUGGACUCGCGGCUUAUCAGCUUGUUGGUGGGGUAGUGGCUUACCAAGGCUUUGACGGGUAGCCGGCCUGAGAGGGUGACCGGCCACAUUGGGACUGAGAUACGGCCCAGACUCCUACGGGAGGCAGCAGUGGGGAAUAUUGCACAAUGGGCGGAAGCCUGAUGCAGCAACGCCGCGUGCGGGAUGACGGCCUUCGGGUUGUAAACCGCUUUCGCCUGUGACGAAGCGUGAGUGACGGUAAUGGGUAAAGAAGCACCGGCUAACUACGUGCCAGCAGCCGCGGUGAUACGUAGGGUGCGAGCGUUGUCCGGAUUUAUUGGGCGUAAAGGGCUCGUAGGUGGUUGAUCGCGUCGGAAGUGUAAUCUUGGGGCUUAACCCUGAGCGUGCUUUCGAUACGGGUUGACUUGAGGAAGGUAGGGGAGAAUGGAAUUCCUGGUGGAGCGGUGGAAUGCGCAGAUAUCAGGAGGAACACCAGUGGCGAAGGCGGUUCUCUGGGCCUUUCCUGACGCUGAGGAGCGAAAGCGUGGGGAGCGAACAGGCUUAGAUACCCUGGUAGUCCACGCUGUAAACGGUGGGUACUAGGUGUGGGGUCCAUUCCACGGGUUCCGUGCCGUAGCUAACGCUUUAAGUACCCCGCCUGGGGAGUACGGCCGCAAGGCUAAAACUCAAAGGAAU
Molecule: ribosomal RNA, 893 nt
Filed under: hypersaline lake metagenome
Description: bacterial SSU rRNA
Rfam family: Bacterial small subunit ribosomal RNA
Source: RNAcentral